UCUCAGGAUAGUAUCCUCAGUCACAAAGCUGGGCAAAGAACUGAGAACUCAUUUACAGUUGUGAAGAAAAGGACUGGGAGGUACAGAUGGAGUGAGAGUUCUCCAGAGCUUGGUUUUCUGUCACCUUUGUAGUGAAGAGCUGUUGGUUUCCUUCUGCCUCCUCCGUUUCUCCAGCCUGAAGUACAUCAAGGGGUUGAUUUCCCCUGCAAAGCCAGAAAAGAGGCAAUAAUAGAUUUAAAGGGAUAUAGAGUGGUGAUAGAGAUAGAUGAGCCUAGAAGCAGCAGAACUGUGGGGACUGGAUUCAUGACCAGUGUUCCAGAAUUCAUUGUUUAUGCACCAGAGAAAUUCUAUUGUUGUACCAUGAUGGCAUCCUCAACAUUUGGAACCGCUAUUGGUAUCACUGGAAGGCUGGAAUAGAAUCUUUAGAGGUAGAUGGGAUCGUGACUGAAAACUUGGCGACUUUCCCAUGACCCCCGUGCUGGAAACCCCAUGUGUUACUCACUUCUGCUUGGUUGUGCCGCAGUAAUAAA
Molecule: long non-coding RNA, 530 nt
Organism: Mustela erminea (ermine)
Lineage: Eukaryota; Metazoa; Chordata; Mammalia; Carnivora; Mustelidae
Exons: 3
Source: RefSeq, a predicted model, not a curated record